AUACGGAGGGUGCAAGCGUUACUCGGAAUCACUGGGCGUAAAGCGCGCGCAGGCGGUCUUUUAAGUUGGAUGUGAAAGCCUACGGCUCAACCGUAGAACUGCAUCCAAAACUAUUUGGCUAGAGUGUGGGAGAGGAAGAUGGAAUUAGUUGUGUAGGGGUAAAAUCCGUAGAGAUAACUAGGAAUACCAAAAGCGAAGGCAAUCUUCUGGAACAUUACUGACGCUGAGGCGCGAAAGCGUGGGGAGCAAACAGGAUUAGAAACCCCAGUAGUCC
RNAcentral lists this ribosomal RNA (274 nucleotides) under uncultured bacterium. RNAcentral describes it as "partial 16S ribosomal RNA". It matches the Rfam family "Bacterial small subunit ribosomal RNA", at positions 523 to 796 of the family's 1533-position model. The record is from RNAcentral.